UCUCUGUAUUAAUCCAUGCCUANUCGAGCAGGGUUCGCGCCCUCGGCGUACUGCUCAGUAACACGUGGAUAACCUGCCCUAAGGAAGGGGAUACCCCCGGGAAACUGGGGAUAAUACCCUAUAGGUUACAGAUGCUGGAAUGCUCUGUAACCGAAAGUUCCGGCGCCUUANGAUGGAUCUGCGGCCGAUUAGGUUGUUGUCGGGGUAACGGCCCAACAAGCCAGUAAUCGGUACGGGUUGUGGGAGCAAGAGCCCGGAGUUGGAUUCUGAGACACGAAUCCAGGCCCUACGGGGCGCAGCAGGCGCGAAAACUUUACAAUGCGGGCAACCGUGAUAAGGGAACCUCGAGUGCCUGUAUAUGCAGGCUGUCUGGGUGUCUAAAACACACCUAAAGAAAGGGCCGGGCAAGACCGGUGCCAGCCGCCGCGGUAAUACCGGCGGCUCGAGUGGUGGCCACUUUUAUUGGGCUUAAAGCGUUCGUAGCUGGGUUAUUAAGUCCCUUGGGAAAUCCGACGGCUUAACCGUCGGGCGUCUAAGGGAUACUGGCAAUCUUGGAACCGGGAGAGGUGAGGGGUACUUCGGGGGUAGGAGUGAAAUCCUGUAAUCCUCGAGGGACCACCUGUGGCGAAGGCGCCUCACCAGAACGGCUUCGACAGUGAGGGACGAAAGCUGGGGGAGCAAACCGGAUUAGAUACCCGGGUAGUCCCAGCCGUAAACGAUGUGCGUUAGGUGUAUCGGUGACCACGAGUCACCGAGGUGCCGAAGGGAAACCGUGAAACGUACCGCCUGGGAAGNACGGUCGCAAGGCUGAAACUUAAAGGAAUUGGCGGGGGAGCACCACAACAGGUGGAGCCUGCGGUUU
This 862-nucleotide ribosomal RNA is filed under the name uncultured Methanomicrobiales archaeon. Its description in RNAcentral is "bacterial SSU rRNA". It matches the Rfam family "Archaeal small subunit ribosomal RNA", at positions 37 to 903 of the family's 1478-position model. The record is from RNAcentral. Lineage: Archaea; Methanobacteriati; Methanobacteriota; Methanomicrobia; Methanomicrobiales.